This is a long non-coding RNA of Ailuropoda melanoleuca (giant panda), 2036 nucleotides long. RefSeq lists it as uncharacterized. The record is from RefSeq and is a predicted model, not a curated record. The transcript is spliced from 4 exons. Lineage: Eukaryota; Metazoa; Chordata; Mammalia; Carnivora; Ursidae.
AUCCCCCAGAGACUGCCGGAGUUUUUCUACAGCCUUCUGGAACUCGUAGUCCUUUAAGAACUCGGAGAGGGCUUAUGCCGCGGGCGGGUAACCGAAGGUGGACUGCAUUUCCCAGUAUGCAUGAAGAAACCUGGGCGCUGAGGAGGGCGGGAGGACUGUUUCCAUAGCAAAGGCGGCUGGUUGGGGAUGGCUGACGGAGAAAUGGGGCCGACCGCGGGACCCUCGGAUUGUGCGUGACUUCGGGCAGCCUCUUGGGAGGGCGUUUCGAUUUUUUUCUCCUCGAUACCCACCAUAGGACUCUGGGCCUCAGUUUUCCUAUCUGAGAAGAAGGGCGUGGAUCCGUCCCCCUGCCCACAGUCCGCGGUGUGGGGCAAACUGAGGUCGAGCCGCUUUGGUUUGCCCAGCAAAGGCUCUACAGAUGUCGAGGUGGAAGUGGGUCCCAGUGGCUCCCACGUGACCCCAGUUAUGUCCAUGAAGCAGCAGAGCCCACAUGCCACACUACCUUGGCUGCCCAUCUCUGCAAAUAUGUGGCCGGACUAGAAUGUUCAAUCCCAGGCAGAUCCCGAUGUGGCUACUCUCCUAGCUGCACUGUGAAGACAUCCCGCCAGCCUGCCUCCUGCCAUUAAGAUUUCUCUGACAUAAAUCGCCCUGGUUCACUGUAUCCCUGAAGCUCCAAAGGACAUGUAUUGAGCCUUCUGAGUGAUCCCACAGAAGCCCCUUUCCCAAAGCUUGAGAUGACUUGCAGGAGUAGUAGGUCCUAGUGGCCAGCAGGUGACGCUAGAGCCCAGCGCUCCGCAGACUGACCCCUGGAAGUUCUAAACUGUAGCAGGUGUUGGUCUGAUGUGCGGGAGAGGAUCCGGGCUCUGAGAAAUUGCUUUCCCUCGUGUCCCACUCGAAGCUCGGCCUCAGAUCUAGCAGUGGAUGACUGAAGCUACUCAUCCUCCACUCAGCGCCUCAGUCGUGUCCUCCUGGCCUGAGAGUGCAUGGAAGACAGUCAGGGGAUUCGAGUUCCCUGUUGGUCCAGUAAUCGGUGCUUCUCUGACUGAACAGAGUCGGAUCUGGGCAAGCUACCUGCGUCAGGUCCCAUUUUUUUCUCACGAAUUCUCGUGGAAACUGUGGGGUGGAACAUUUUUAUGAACGUUUUAAGAGCCUGGAAUUUGGAUAUUCCUGUGUAAGCCAGAAGGCUUGGACCAACGGUGGGCCAAGUGAGGAAUUGGUCAAAUCCAGGUGGAUGUUAAAGAUAGAGCAGAUAAAGGGAAGGCGUUUGGCAUUAAUGACGGUCUUUUCGCCUCUGUGCAUCAUCCGUUUCCCCAGCAGAGGGGCGGCCUCCUACCCACCCUGUCGCGGGGUGUGAAGAGGCUUUGGAGCACUACUCGGGCACCUGGUGGUCCCCGCCGAUCCUCCUGGGCCAGGACCUCAACAGGACUUGUGAGGUGGUCUUUUCCGCGGCAGUACUCCCAAGUCCGGAGCAGACGCCGAGGUAGUUGUCAUGGAGACAGGAGCGCGGAGAAGAAUGUGGCUCUUGAUUGGCUGGGAGGCUAGUUAGCGUCACGCCCCACGCCCGUGGCGUAGCGGUCAACCCCCAGGUGUGGACUGGUCUCGGAGAAACUGGACUUUCAGCGCUCUUCGCCCUGUGGCCGGCCGGACGACAUAGGCCGACCAGGAGACUGUCGCUCCCCUCUCGGUCCCCUCGGCCGGGAGGGCCGGCCGGAACGCGGCCCCUGAACUUCGGAAAGAAGGGGACCAUGAAAAACAAAACUCAACUUGGCUUCAUUUAGGGAAGGUCUUCCAGGUGAAAGCUGACUUUCAGUGCUCCACCUAACACUCUUAAGCUGUCAUUUCUGCUUCGUUUUUGCCCUCUGUGUAUUCCUUACCAAUUUUCCAGUGCAUCAGUGCAUUUUAAAAGGUUUUAAAACGAUUCCAUCCAGCAUUAAAGUUGCUUUGCCACAGCGGCAGAAACUAAGUGCAUUUGUGAAUUCCUUAGAGGAAACCCACCGAUACCUGACUUGGAGAUCUGGCUUCACUUCAACCUCUUC